Molecule: ribosomal RNA, 460 nt
Filed under: uncultured bacterium
Lineage: Bacteria
Description: partial 16S ribosomal RNA
Rfam family: Bacterial small subunit ribosomal RNA
Source: RNAcentral
CCUACGGGAGGCAGCAGUGAGGAAUAUUGGUCAAUGGCCGUAAGGCUGAACCAGCCAAGUCGCGUGAAGGAAGAAGGAUCUAUGGUUUGUAAACCUCUUUUAUAGGGGAAUAAAGGUAUCCACGUGUGGAUGUUUGCAUGUACCCUAUGAAUAAGCAUCGGCUAACUCCGUGCCAGCAGCCGCGGUAAUACGGAGGAUGCGAGCGUUAUCCGGAUUUAUUGGGUUUAAAGGGUGCGUAGGUUGUUUUUUAAGUCAGCGGUGAAAGUUUGUGGCUCAACCAUAAAAUUGCCGUUGAAACUGGAAGACUUGAGUGUGUUUGAGGUAGGCGGAAUGCGUGGUGUAGCGGUGAAAUGCAUAGAUAUCACGCAGAACUCCGAUUGCGAAGGCAGCUUACUAAGCCAUAACUGACACUGAAGCACGAAAGCGUGGGGAUCAAACAGGAUUAGAUACCCGAGUAGUC